UUUUUAUGGAGAGUUUGAUCCUGGCUCAGAGUGAACGCUGGCGGCGUGCCUAAUACAUGCAAGUCGAACGAUGAAGCUUCUAGCUUGCUAGAAGUGGAUUAGUGGCGCACGGGUGAGUAAGGUAUAGUUAAUCUGCCCUACACAAGAGGACAACAGUUGGAAAC
Molecule: ribosomal RNA, 164 nt
Filed under: Campylobacter jejuni
Lineage: Bacteria; Pseudomonadati; Campylobacterota; Epsilonproteobacteria; Campylobacterales; Campylobacteraceae
Description: partial 16S ribosomal RNA
Rfam family: Bacterial small subunit ribosomal RNA
Source: RNAcentral